RNAcentral lists this ribosomal RNA (449 nucleotides) under uncultured bacterium. Its description in RNAcentral is "partial 16S ribosomal RNA". It matches the Rfam family "Bacterial small subunit ribosomal RNA", at positions 29 to 523 of the family's 1533-position model. The record is from RNAcentral.
AACGUACGCUGGCGGCACGCCUAACACAUGCAAGUCGAACGCAGUAGCAAUACUGAGUGGCAGACGGGUGAGUAACAUGUGGGAAUCUGCCUUGUGGUUCAGGACAACAUUGGGAAACCGAUGCUAAUACUGGAUAAGCCCUUACGGGGAAAGUUUUAAUGCCAUAAGAUGAGCCCGCAUUUGAUUAGUUAGUUGGUGAGGUAAUGGCUCACCAAGACAAUGAUCAAUAGCUGAUCUGAGAGGAUGAUCAGCCACACUGGGACUGAGACACGGCCCAGACUCCUACGGGAGGCAGCAGUGGGGAAUCUUGCACAAUGGAGGAAACUCUGAUGCAGCGAUGCCGCGUGAGUGAAGAAGGCCUUUGGGUUGUAAAGCUCUUUUGUAGGGGAAGAUAAUGACUGUACCCUAAGAAUAAGGUCCGGCUAACUUCGUGCCAGCAGCCGCCGUAA